Molecule: long non-coding RNA, 340 nt
Filed under: Cricetulus griseus (Chinese hamster)
Lineage: Eukaryota; Metazoa; Chordata; Mammalia; Rodentia; Cricetidae
Description: lncRNA (ENSCGRG00015030301.1)
Source: RNAcentral
UGUAUUUCUAAAAUGGAGUCCAAAGUUUUAUAAACUGUAAAAUGCACACAGUUCUAGCUACUCUCUAAAAAGAAAAAGGCCACUUAAUUAAGUAAGCCACAGCAUGGCAGCUUUUAUUAAAAUCAAUUCCAGAAGAAAUGACACAUGAGUCAAUGAAAAAUGACCGGGAAUGCAGAUAUAGCCUGCUGAAUUGCAUGUGGAGAGAAUUUACGAGCGGCACAGAUCCCAUAUUUCACAUGAAUGGUUUCCCCAGUUUGCAUUUUCCAGUAGUAGCAAGCUCAACUCUGUUAUUGACAGAUCGCCCUGGGGCCGCCAGCUACAGCCCUGUUUGCAUAGCCAG